UACAGAGGAUGCAAGCGUUAUCCGGAAUGAUUGGGCGUAAAGCGUCUGUAGGUGGCUUUUUAAGUCCGCCGUCAAAUCCCAGGGCUCAACUCUGGACAGGCGGUGGAAACUACCAAGCUGGAGUACGGUAGGGGCAGAGGGAAUUUCCGGUGGAGCGGUGAAAUGCGUAGAGAUCGGAAGGAACACCAGUGGCGAAAGCGGCUUCCUGGUCCAGCACCGACGUUCAGGCACGAAAGCGUGGGGAGCAAACAGG
RNAcentral lists this ribosomal RNA (253 nucleotides) under uncultured bacterium. RNAcentral describes it as "partial 16S ribosomal RNA". It matches the Rfam family "Bacterial small subunit ribosomal RNA", at positions 524 to 776 of the family's 1533-position model. The record is from RNAcentral.